Molecule: long non-coding RNA, 668 nt
Organism: Hevea brasiliensis (rubber tree)
Lineage: Eukaryota; Viridiplantae; Streptophyta; Magnoliopsida; Malpighiales; Euphorbiaceae
Exons: 2
Source: RefSeq, a predicted model, not a curated record
UGGUCAUUUCACCCCUAGAGGUGAAUUUUGACUUAAAUGUCAAAUUAAAAUUUGAAAAUAGAAUAAUUAACAUUAAUUAAAAUUUAUGAAAUAGAUUAGGAAAAAGAGAAAAGGAAAGAAAGGAAAAGAAAGGAAAGGAAAAGAAAAGAAAAGGAAAGGAAAGGCUUAGGAAAAUUCAAAAAAAAAAAAGUAUAUAAAUAGACACAAGAAGACAAACCCCACCAACCCCAAGCUUCCAUCUUCUUCUUCCCUCUUCUCUCUCUCUCUCCCUCUCUUGGAAACCGUCCACCGUGGGAGCUCUCUCCCUCCAUUUUUGUUCUUCUUAAAGCUUGAUUUUCCAAGCUUUCUCCUCCCCAAAACCCAUAGACCCCUUCACAAAAAAUUUAGCCCACACCAUAAGGAAGCUUUAGAUACCCAUAAGAAGAAGAAAGAUUAAAGUUUGAAGUGGGUCACAAGAGGUACUGAAGAUCAGCAGCCGCCACAGUAGUAUUCGGACAGAGUUCCGACCAGAUCUGCCACCGAUCAGAGUCACCUCACCAGUCUUUUGUAUUUUGGUAGGGCCCAUGUAUAGACUAGUAUUUUGGUUCAUUAUGUCUAGUCAUGAUGUAUUUUAUUUUGGACUUGUAAUUAAACUUUGAGAUUGAAAUGAAAACUUGUAAUUUAUUAUC